AAAAAGUAACUCGCACAGAAAGUCGUAUGCAGAUUCUUAGUAUUUUUUCUUUGCUGGGAGUAGAAGUCUAUCUCAAACUGUCAAACAGCAGAGAUAGGAACUCUACUAUGAAUUCUGAUAAUAGGUGCAAGCCAUUCUGUGUCUCAAAGGCUCUGGAAGGGAUUACAGAUUUAUUGAGCACAGAGGAUAUUACUCCAUGUCUUAAUGUGUUUGUUAGUCUUUGCUGACCAGGGAAGUAGCUAGCUAAAGCACUGAGCACUCUCAACUCUACUUUAGGCCUUUGAAUCCUUUAGCAUGUCAGUCAACAGCUGAUAAGAUUGGCAAGCACACUUCUUUGUUUAAAUAAGUAUUUACAUUAAACUUCAAUUUAACAUUGCUAGAUAUACUCAGAGUUAUUUGGGGUGGAUUCCAGGAAUCUUGCUAUUAACUCUAAUAAAUAUGGAAGAGAAAGCUACAAGUUUUUGGUGCGCAGUGUAGUUCUGUAAGAUGAGAUUCUCAUUCCCUAUACGCUUGGAUAGACACGCUUGAAAAUACAUGUUUUCUCCAACAUGUAUCUUCAUCUGGUCACAGAAGACUCAAGUGUCAUAACCUAUCAUGUUCAGAAAUAUCCCAGCAGUGCUUGGGGAGAGAAUAAUCAUUUUUUUUUUAAUUUAGUAUAACAGAAUAAAUGACACCAGUUCUGUACUGACCCAUUCCUGAUCUGGUAAAUUCCAUGUAAGGAAUCAGAAAAUAAUUCUCUUACUAUUCCUCUGUCAGGGCUGGGAAAAACUGGAAUGUGGCUUUUAGAACAUACAGCAAAUCUGUCAGAUUUCUCAUUUGUUUGCUUUUCUCCUCAGUAUGGCUACCUCCUACUUCAAAUUAGAUUACAAAUCUCCUCCAGAGCUGGACAGCAAGCUACUGCUGCCUUUGGAGAAGCUAAUAGGACAAUAUUGACAACCUACAUAUGUUCCCAUUGUAUUGUACAUAACUUCUACCACCAUGUAAAUAUGCUCACACAAGUAGAUGAGCUCAUACAUCAUCCACGCUCCCUAAUUUAGACAUAUCCAUAAGCUAGCAUACUUUUUAAUUGAAUAACUUCAGAUGGCUUUCUUAAUUCAACUUUGAUUGAAAAAGUCUUGAUGUGUGAGGUAAAGUAGGUGACAUACUUGCUAAAAUAUAGUUGAUCACACAGUCAAAAAAAAAAAGUGCACAAUAACCUUGCAUUUGCCUGUGCUAUAUGUCCUGUGGUUUAUCUGUGCUUAUGGGGAGAAAAGCAGUACAUAAGGGCUUCGUGUACGUAAGGGCUUCAUUUUCAGUUCCCUGAACUAAAAGAUCACAGGGUUGCUUGAAGGUAAUGAUGCUACUGAGACCCAGUAUCUUUCACUGGCAUUUUCUCGUAAAAAGCCUGAAUUCAAAUUGCUUACAAAUCUCAUCUGCCUUAGCAGGAAGAGGUGUUCAGCCCAAUAACAAUCGCUCUCCAUGCAAGAGAGGUAAAGGCUAUUGUGCCUGGCACGCUGUAUUUCAGUGUGCCAAGAAAAGAGAGAAUGCAUAUCAAAGUGUCCUUUCAACUGGAAAAAUGCACCCCUUUUGAGCUGAGCUGUCCUUGAUGGCCCUCUAAAACAAAAUUCACAGCAAUUAAUUUUGUUUCAAGUAUGGUCUUGAGGAUCCUUCUGUCCGGCAAUGCGGAUGUUGCCAAGAAUAUCUUCAUUUAAAUAUGAAGAACCUCACUAAAGGCAAGAACCGUCGUUUUCUAGGAUGCUCCCUGGGAGCAGCUGUUUGUGUUAUGCUGAUAUGGGGCUUACCAUCACCAGAGCCUUCUUAAUUCUACAAGAACCCAUGAACCUGAACAACCCGAUUAUUUUAGUGUAAGAUUUGGAAAUAAAACUGGAAAACUCAGUUCAUGUAAGCUUGGCAUCCCCCAGCAGGUCCUGGACAGCUUCCUCCCUGACAGAACACAAGUGAGGCAGAGCAGAGAGAAGAUCAGAAGAUGUGAAUGUGGUGAGGGUACACUCAGGGCUUGCUCAAAACAUGGAGGGGGUGGGCAGCGGGAGGGGUGUGAUUAACUCUCUCUAUAGUAAACCUGAAAAGAAGCUCAAGCUGAUUAGGGAAUCCGUUUAGCUGAAUGGAUAUUUGCUUCAAAUUUUCCAGACAAAUAGAUGGGCCUGAUCCUAUUCCUGAUACAAUUAAAGUAGAAAGCACAGAAAAAAAAAUAAUAAAGCUCUACAAAAGAACAGGAAUUGCAGUUAGCAGAAAAGAACACAGAACUCAGAUAAGAGAGUUGAUUUCUUUCAAAGACAGAGUAUAUUUUUCCAUUUUGUCUCUUUCCAGCUUUCCGCAUCAAGAGAGAGAUACCAAAAAGAUUAGCCUGAUAAAAUUGUUCAUGAAAUCUUAACAAUCUGUGAGAAUUACAAAGAACAAAGUUGAGACAAAUUGUACAAUGUGUGGACAAUGUAUAUGGAAAAUCUCUGUGGAAAAAUCAGAUGUUUGAGGGCAAAGGAGGAGGGAAAAGCAACUUGUUCCUGUGUUUGUACUUACAUGGUGAGCCAAGAUCAAAAGCAGCCUUAUCCUCCAUCUGGUCAUCUCCGGAAACUCUGAGUUGGAUUCAAGCUGAUUAUAGCAGCAACCUUCUGCACUCCUGAAAGAGUAACUUCUCCAACGCUUCUUUUCUUUUUUUUUCUCUUUCUUUCUUUUUUUUUUUUCCUAACAAACAAAUGAACAAAAACCA
This is a long non-coding RNA of Cygnus olor (mute swan), 2704 nucleotides long. RefSeq lists it as uncharacterized. The transcript is spliced from 3 exons. The record is from RefSeq and is a predicted model, not a curated record. NCBI's taxonomy places the organism in Eukaryota, Metazoa, Chordata, Aves, Anseriformes, Anatidae.